GCCCGCUCAAGAAACUCGAAAGAAGUUGACGGGGCCCGCACAAGCGGCGGAGCAUGUGGAUUAAUUCGAUGCAACGCGAAGAACCUUACCUGGGUUUUGACAUACACCGGAAAACCGUAGAGAUAGGUCCCCCCUUGUGGUCGGUGUACAGGUGGUGCAUGGCUGUCGCCAGCUCGUGUCGUGAGAUGUUGGGUUAAGUCCCGCAACGAGCGCAACCCUUGUCUUAUGUUGCCAGCACGUGAUGGUGGGGACUCGUAAGAGACUGCCGGGGUCAACUCGGAGGAAGGUGGGGAUGACGUCAAGUCAUCAUGCCCCUUAUGUCCAGGGCUUCACACAUGCUACAAUGGCCAGUACAGAGGGCUGCGAGACCGUGAGGUGGAGCGAAUCCCUUAAAGCUGGUCUCAGUUCGGAUCGGGGUCUGCAACUCGACCCCGUGAAGUCGGAGUCGCUAGUAAUCGCAGAUCAGCAACGCUGCGGUGAAUACGUUCCCGGGCCUU
Molecule: ribosomal RNA, 497 nt
Filed under: uncultured Rhodococcus sp.
Lineage: Bacteria; Bacillati; Actinomycetota; Actinomycetes; Mycobacteriales; Nocardiaceae
Description: bacterial SSU rRNA
Rfam family: Bacterial small subunit ribosomal RNA
Source: RNAcentral